Non-coding RNA from Oikopleura dioica, 45 nucleotides. The record is from Rfam. NCBI's taxonomy places the organism in Eukaryota, Metazoa, Chordata, Appendicularia, Copelata, Oikopleuridae.
AAACCGGCCCUUUUUAGGGCCACAAAAAUUGAUCGAAGCGUCAUG